This 446-nucleotide ribosomal RNA is filed under the name uncultured bacterium. Its description in RNAcentral is "SSU rRNA". It matches the Rfam family "Bacterial small subunit ribosomal RNA", at positions 26 to 518 of the family's 1533-position model. The record is from RNAcentral.
AGAAUGAACGCUGGCGGCAUGCCUAACACAUGCAAGUCGAACGAGACCUUCGGGUCUAGUGGCGCACGGGUGCGUAACACGUGGGAAUCUACCCCUUGGUUCGGAAUAACAGUUGGAAACGACUGCUAAUACCGGAUGAUGACGUAAGUCCAAAGAUUUAUCGCCGAGGGAUGAGCCCGCGUAGGAUUAGCUAGUUGGUGUGGUAAAGGCGCACCAAGGCGACGAUCCUUAGCUGGUCUGAGAGGAUGAUCAGCCACACUGGGACUGAGACACGGCCCAGACUCCUACGGGAGGCAGCAGUGGGGAAUAUUGGACAAUGGGCGAAAGCCUGAUCCAGCAAUGCCGCGUGAGUGAUGAAGGCCUUAGGGUUGUAAAGCUCUUUUACCCGGGAUGAUAAUGACAGUACCGGGAGAAUAAGCUCCGGCUAACUCCGCGCCAGCAGCCGC